This is a non-coding RNA of Notechis scutatus (mainland tiger snake), 753 nucleotides long. The record is from RefSeq and is a predicted model, not a curated record. NCBI's taxonomy places the organism in Eukaryota, Metazoa, Chordata, Lepidosauria, Squamata, Elapidae.
CAUGUUCUAUUUUCUUGUAGUCUAUUUCUCCUUUAUCCUCAUUUGGCUGGUCAGCAACAUUUUGACCCUCAUCCCCCUAUUGAUGAUUCAUCACAAAAUGGAAGGUCAGAUGGAAGAAGAGCUUCACUUUGGUGUUCUAAAGGCUGCAGCGGUAAAGAUGAAGCACAUCAAGCUUCAUGAAACAUGAGGGAACUGGGGGACAGAAAUGGUGGAAGUGACCCAAAACUGGGUUUCUUGACUGUCAUGCAUCAUCAAGUAGCCAUACAGCAGAAUUUCUUUGAGUGGCUAAAGAUUUUCCAGGAUCUACACUGGUGUACAGAUGUUCAACCAACCACAUAUUCUCUGGAUGAUUCAUAUAGUACUAGCCAAGAGAUUUGAGUGCAUGAAGAAUGAUGCACAUGGCCUUAAAGGAAUAUUCAAGGUCAAAAUCUUUGCCUUGUGUUGCCCAUCCCCAUUUGUUCCUCUUCCUUUCUCUCCAGCAUGUUCCUCAGUGUUUCCUAUGGAAAGAAACCACAUUUUAGCUCUGUGUGAGUUGCGGUGAGAAAGGUGUUGCAUUAUGUGUCAUGUUUUCAUGCAUUAUGCAUUGGGAUUCUCACAAACUUUGCCCCUUCCCACAGUCACCAGCAGAAUUGUCUUGCGUAGAAUAGUCACUAGGGUAUAUGGAUAUUGUACCUGUGAAUCAUUUAAUCAGCAGACAUACCUGUUAGACAACAGUCUUUAAUAACUGCAAUUUAUUAUAUAUUGUUAGUACCC